AGGAUUUUAAGUUAAAAAAACUAAAAGUUUUCAAAGCUUUAAAUGGUAUUAAAUUUGCCAAGUCUUG
This 67-nucleotide transfer RNA is filed under the name Nemertopsis tetraclitophila. Its description in RNAcentral is "tRNA-Trp". The record is from RNAcentral. Lineage: Eukaryota; Metazoa; Nemertea; Enopla; Monostilifera; Emplectonematidae.